AACUGAUACUACCUGCGGGAACCUGCGGAAGGAUCAUUAACGAGUUUUGAAGUGGGAUUGAUGCUGGCCUUCCGAGGCAUGUGCUCGUCCUCGCUCAUCCACUCACAACACCUGUGCACUGUUGAGGUGUGGCCCCCCUUCAAUGGAGCCGUUCCCCCCUAGGGGGUCGAGCCGGGGUCAGGCCUUCUUCGUCACAAACAACUCGUAAUGUCUAUUCGGAAUGUAAUGCUUCAUGUUAAU
This 240-nucleotide unclassified non-coding RNA is filed under the name soil metagenome. Its description in RNAcentral is "partial contains 5.8S ribosomal RNA, internal transcribed spacer 2, and large subunit ribosomal RNA". The record is from RNAcentral.